This 911-nucleotide long non-coding RNA is filed under the name Panax ginseng (ginseng). Its description in RNAcentral is "long non-coding RNA (PGIN_LNC007958)". Lineage: Eukaryota; Viridiplantae; Streptophyta; Magnoliopsida; Apiales; Araliaceae. The record is from RNAcentral.
UCGCUUUACUUUCUAGAGCAAUUUUUUCAUCUUCAAUGGAUAUGAGAAGAGCUUCUAUCUCAACAACUUUGGACUCAUUAUUGCUUUCUAAUGCCUCUUUGUAUGACUGUAGUGAAGCUACAAUAGCUGAAGCUGGUUCCUCUGCAUUAGUAGUCUCACCCUCAAUCUCACUCUCAACAUCUUCUGAACCAGCAGUACUGUCUGAAUUGUCCUGUUAAAUAUGUAUUGCAAAAAGACUUUAGUAAGUACAUUUAAAAAAAAAAUGAAAUUAUGAAUAUUCUCUGUUAAUGUCUUUGAAGUUUGAAAACAUAAAAAAUUCCAUGUUUAAAAGCUAGACUUCAGUGAGACCACAGGAAAUAAAUCAUGGACAAGUACUAAUCAAGUCAAACUGCAGAACAAAUUUACAGAUACAAAAUUUCAGGCAAGCCUGUUAAUAGCACAAAUAUGAAGCAAUCAGAUAACAGCAUUAAGCAUGUAAAGCUCAGAGAAAAAGGCUUUGCUUGGCUCAACUGGCCAAGUGGCCAUGAAACACAGGAAUCACAUAAGUGACAAUGGUUCAUUUGAUAGAUAUCAACUAAAUUAUGGUUUCAAAUGGGACGACAGAGAAACUAAAAAACCCUGCAGUAGGGCAAGCGCAGAAGUGAAGAUUGAAAGCAUAAUAUUUCAUCCAUAUCAAUCAAAAAUUUACAGGCAGGCACAAAAGGGAACAGACAAAAUAAUUAAACAAAGAACGCAUCCAACAAAAUGUGUAUCACUCCAGGCAAGGUAAACUGAAGGCAACGAAAGCACUAUAGCCAGGAUCACUAGCUCGCACAAACUUCACACCAAAACUAUGAGACAUAUUCCAGUUAUAUCAACCAAGACAAUUGUUUAAGUCAUAUACUAUGUAACUAGAUCCUACUACAGUCCCG